UCAUGAUCAUAGAUAAUAGGGAAUAGAAUAUCAAGAUAAUUAUUGAUUUUCUAAAACUGUCAUAGCAUAAUAGGCAAUAGGAUAUUAUGACAAUCAUUGAUUUUCUAAAACUAUCAUAGCAUAAUAAGCAAUAGGAUAUCAGGUUCAAAUAGGUGUAGACAAGACUAAAAUUUAUAUUCUUAGGUCUUGACUUUCUCCAGCUAUAAACAACUAUAAAUCUUGCAAAAAUUUUUCACCGC
Molecule: long non-coding RNA, 239 nt
Filed under: Elaeis guineensis (African oil palm)
Lineage: Eukaryota; Viridiplantae; Streptophyta; Magnoliopsida; Arecales; Arecaceae
Description: long non-coding RNA (EGUI_LNC045220)
Source: RNAcentral